RNAcentral lists this ribosomal RNA (379 nucleotides) under uncultured eukaryote. RNAcentral describes it as "partial 18S ribosomal RNA". It matches the Rfam family "Eukaryotic small subunit ribosomal RNA", at positions 592 to 976 of the family's 1831-position model. The record is from RNAcentral.
CAAUAGCGUAUAUUAAAGUUGUUGCGGUAAAAAAGCUCGUAGUUGGAUUUCUGUUGAGAGCGACCGGUCCAUACCAUGUAUGCGUAUCUGGCUUGCUCUCGGCAUCCUCUCGAUAGACGUUACUGCGCUUGACUGCGUGGUGCGGAUCUCGGGACUUUUACUUUGAGGAAAUUAGAGUGUUCACGGCAGGCUUUCGCCAGAAUACAUUAGCAUGGAAUAAUACUAUAGGAUCUUGGUUCUAUUUUGUUGGUUUCUAGAAUUGAGAUAAUGAUUAAUAGGGACAAUUGGGGGCAUUCGUAUCAACACGUCAGAGGUGGAAUUCUUGGAUUGUGUUGCGACGAACUACUGCGAAAGCAUUUGCCAAGGAUGUUUUCAUUGA